AACGCAUAUUGCGCCCCUUGGUAUUCCGGGGGGCACACCUGUUCGAGAGCCAUUACAACCCUCAAGUUAGCUUGGUGUUGGGUAAAGUCCUAGGGGACCUACCCGUAACUUGUAGGCGGUCACCGUCCGCUCCUUCAGCGUAGCAAGCUUCACGCAUUCGCUCUAGGACGGUAUGUGGCUAUACCUCAAAAUUCCUAAGGUUUGGCCUCGGAUCAGGUGGGGAUACCCGCUGAACUUAA
RNAcentral lists this unclassified non-coding RNA (239 nucleotides) under uncultured fungus. Its description in RNAcentral is "partial contains 5.8S ribosomal RNA, internal transcribed spacer 2, and large subunit ribosomal RNA". The record is from RNAcentral. Lineage: Eukaryota; Fungi.